AGCCCGGUAGUGUAGAGGUCAAUCAUGUGAGGCUCUGGACCUUGCGACACAGGUUCGAAUCCUGUCCGGGCUACCA
This 76-nucleotide transfer RNA is filed under the name Methanosarcinales archaeon. Its description in RNAcentral is "tRNA-Gln". It matches the Rfam family "tRNA". Rfam says of the family: Transfer RNA (tRNA) molecules are approximately 80 nucleotides in length. Their secondary structure includes four short double-helical elements and three loops (D, anti-codon, and T loops). RNAcentral also lists the same sequence under 1 other name. Lineage: Archaea; Methanobacteriati; Methanobacteriota; Methanomicrobia; Methanosarcinales. The record is from RNAcentral.